Molecule: non-coding RNA, 73 nt
Organism: Stegodyphus mimosarum
Lineage: Eukaryota; Metazoa; Arthropoda; Arachnida; Araneae; Eresidae
Source: Rfam
GCCUUCGUGGUGUAGUUGUCAGCACGCUGGGCGGGUAUUCCAAAGGUCAGUGGUUCGAAUCCCGGUGAGGGCA